This 274-nucleotide ribosomal RNA is filed under the name uncultured bacterium. Its description in RNAcentral is "partial 16S ribosomal RNA". It matches the Rfam family "Bacterial small subunit ribosomal RNA", at positions 523 to 796 of the family's 1533-position model. The record is from RNAcentral.
AUACGGAGGGUGCAAGCGUUACUCGGAAUCACUGGGCGUAAAGCGCGCGCAGGCGGCUAUUUAAGUUGGAUGUGAAAGCCUACGGCUCAACCGUAGAACUGCAUCCAAAACUAUUUAGCUAGAGUGUGGGAGAGGAAGAUGGAAUUAGUUGUGUAGGGGUAAAAUCCGUAGAGAUAACUAGGAAUACCAAAAGCGAAGGCAAUCUUCUGGAACACUACUGACGCUGAGGUGCGAAAGCGUGGGGAGCAAACAGGAUUAGAAACCCUGGUAGUCC